AACGCAAAUUGCGCUCUCGGGAUAGGCCUGAGAGCACGCCUCUUUGAGUAUCGAUUCCACCACCUCCAGAACAAACUGAUUUCGAUUGGUUUUGACACUGGGAAUUUGAGUGCUCUCAUAUCUCUUUAGUGAGAUGUGUCACUUGAAGCGGAAUGGAAUGGAGGGUCUUGCGAAACUGCUGUUGAAUGUCAGUUUGCUGAAGUAGACUUGAACAUGGAUAAAUUUCCAAUGAUCAAUAAACUUUGGCUAUUUUGAUAUCAGCGAAUACUAAGUUUUGCAAAAACAAAACCCUCUCCUAACUAAUAAUCUUAAUUAUCUAAGAAUUAGAUCUCAAAUGAAGCGAGACAACCCGCUGAACUUAA
This 362-nucleotide unclassified non-coding RNA is filed under the name uncultured fungus. Its description in RNAcentral is "sequence contains ITS2". The record is from RNAcentral. Lineage: Eukaryota; Fungi.